RNAcentral lists this long non-coding RNA (5797 nucleotides) under Solanum tuberosum (potato). RNAcentral describes it as "long non-coding RNA (STUB_LNC004924)". The record is from RNAcentral. Lineage: Eukaryota; Viridiplantae; Streptophyta; Magnoliopsida; Solanales; Solanaceae.
UCGAGGGAUGCCUAAUACCUUCCCCUCGGUCAACGGAAUUCCUUACCUGAAUUUCUAGUUCGUAGAUCAAAACUAAAAGAGUCAUUUCCUAUUGAUUAGGGAUUCGAAAAGGUGACUUGGAACACCACAACACAAUUUCAAGUGGCGACUCUGAAAAAUUAAAACAAAUCAAUACCGUCACUUAAAUUGGAAAAAACUCUUCCGCCGCUGUGCACAAAAAGAGGUGUGACAAUGGGGUUCCCCCAGAGAACAGCAGAGGGUGUCAUUUCAAUUUGUUCAUGUCAUAAAGAGGCUAAAGUUGGUGGUGGAUACACUUGUCCGAGAUGCAAAGCACGCAUAUGUGAGCUGCCUACUGAGUGUUGCAUUUGCGGACUGACCCUUGUAUCUUCUCCACAUUUGGCAAGGUCAUAUCACCAUCUCUUCCCAAUAAGGCCAUUUGAUGACGUUUCACCCUCAACUCUGAAAGAUUUUCACAAGUUACCAAAGAAUUGCUUUGGUUGCCAACUGAGUUUUCUAAAUCCUGGUAAGAGCACUCUUCUUAUUUACAAAAUCAAAACUAUCUUGAGGUAAAAGAUUUAUGCCCAAAAACAAGGAAAUCUGUCUUAUUUUCUUACUCUUCAAGAUUACUCUGUAAAAUAACUACUGAAGUGAAUCUGCGAUCCAAUGAAGCACGUGGUCACACAAUAUAUUUGUAAAAACGACUUGCAUUUUAUGGUUCAGAAUUGAAACUUCCAGUGGUAAAAAAGAUUCAUGCCAAAAUGAGGAAAUAUGUCUUUUCUGUUUGCUCUCAAGAUUGCAUUGUAAGUAACCUUUAGAGUGAAUCUGGGACCCAAUGAAGCACCUGAGCUGGUCUUCUUUAUCAAAAUAAAUAAAUAAAAAUGGAACACCUGAGAUUUGCAUUUGUUUUGCAGAUAUUAUCAUUAUCCAUGUAUAUGCUAGGAUGUUCGAUAAUUUGAUAAUUUCAAGUAGAGUAGUUUAUCAGAUUAAUCCUGGGUACAUAACCCUGACCUGAAGCAUCUGCUGUUGCUAAGGAUGUCAAUGAAGUUCCUUUCUUUUUUUUUGAAAUUGGUAAAAGUUAUAUUCAUCAGCAUUCAGGGCUAUGCUGGCCACCUCCAAAAUUUACAAAAGAGUCAUGGAUAGUUACAAAGAACCUAUAAAAUCCACUAAUUGGAUUUCUUCUUCUAUAUUCUGUUCUUUACGCCAAAAGCCUAAAGUAGUAUGAAGUUCCUUUCUUUAAGUUCAUAGCUGCAGAGAAUUGUAGAAGGCAUUUACAUAAUUGUUUGUCAUCUGAGAUAUCUUGUAUCUGCAUUUGUCCGAUUUGUAAAGAACGAAAGAAAAAAAAAACACGCACUAAUCAUAACUGAGCUUUUGUUGAACUGAAGCAAAAGAAAUGUCUCUAGUGUUCUACAGAAGAAACAAGAUGUUUAGUUUCUAGAGCUUAAAUUUUUCACGUUCAAGAUAAUAAGUUCUUUUGUGUCACAAUUCUGUGCUUCUCGCUGAUUGUUUGUAAUUAUGUCCUUUGAGGACUGUUUUGAGGAAAAAUUUCAAAGCAAUGUUGAAAUUUGGUCUUUUAAGGAAGUAGCCUGUUAAACUAGUGUUUGUAUUCAGUCAGAUUGUUUUUUUUUUUUGCCAAAUUUCUUGUAACUUGUGAUGAAAUUAAGAAAUUAUUCUGUAAAAUGAGUUGUGCUUGGACCAAACAUUAAUUGGGAUCAUAAAACCUGGAAAGGAAGCAAUUUGUCUCUUCUUAAUGCAAGUCCUAAUUCAUAGACAACCCCUUAAAGUUCCCGCGACUUUUCAUUUAGACACCUUAAUUGAAACUGUUACGCAGCAAACACCUAGGGCGUGUUCGGUAUGAUGGAAAGUGUUUUCUAGGAAAAUAAGUGGAUUUCUUACUUUUUUUUAGAUGAAGUAAUUGAUUCAAUUCAUGUCAUCAAAAAGAUACGAAGUAGUUACAAAAGAGUGAGUGUGUUCGGUACGCAGGCAAAAUUUUUUAUCCUAAAAGCAUUUGUAUAUAAUUUGAACAAUACUAUGAGAGGUGAAGGUGAAGCGUAGGGUGUGUGGGGUGGUGGGGAUGGGGGCUACAUGGGUGAUGCUGAAGAUGAGGUGUGUUGGAAAGUCGGAAGGACACUAUCAAUGUGGAAUCCCACUUGUGUAACUUGUUUACAUUUUCCAAAAAAUGUGUUCGUCCAUACCGAACAAACCCCCUAAUGAGUAAUGUAUAUCUAAAAUGUGCCUAUUGAACACGUCAUGCUUAGCUAGUAAAAAAUAAAAUGUGUGAGUUUAAUGUGAGGAUGUGGCAAAUUAGCAAAUUGAACAAAACCACGUGACUUUUGAAUCCAACUAAUAAAAAAGGAAAAAGAAAACACUAGUUUUUGUAUUCAGCCUGAAUGUUUUUUUUUUCCGCCAAAUUUCUUUUGACUGUUUUUUGAUUCAGUCGAUAGUAUUCAUUGAAUUAGAGCAAAUUUCAAUAGUUCUGGAACAAGCUUCCACCACAUCCCAACUUACAAAAAAAGAACAGGUACUACUACUAUAGCAGAAAUAUAUACUCUACAGGAACCAUAGAAUAAUGAUGAUGGAGAUGUAUUGCGGCCUUCUCCUGUUCAUCAACUCAAACCUCAUACUAAUUACACCAUAAUUUAACCACCACACCAAGCAGAAUCCCAUGUCCUUUACCAACAUUAACAUAACUGCUCUUCUUUUCUUGACAGCAAGACUUUUGCAGACUCAUCAAAACUCAGAACCAAAUCUCCCCUCUACCCCCAAAACCACAAAAGUCCUGUCCUGUCUCUUGAGAGCAUCCCCACAACAUCCAUAGCAGUCACCCUCUUCCUACGAGCAUGCUCAGUAUAAGUAACAACAUCACAAAUCACAUUCUCCAAGAAGAUCUGAGCACCCCCCGAGUCUCCUCAUAGAUUAGCCCACUGAUACACUUCACUGCCCCUCUACAUGCCAAAUGCCUAAUGGCUGGCUUUGUGAUUCAAUGAAUGUUAUCACAGAGGACCUUACGGUGAAGCUUUGCUCCUCCCUUUCCCAAACCUUUUCCUCCCCUUCCACGACCCGACAUGUUCAGUCAACCUUUAGUUUCUCUGAAAUUGGAAGCUUCUGAAUUUCUAAGAGUGUUAGGGAGACAAUGAUGAAGACAAAUUUCUUGUAACUUGUGUGAUGAAUUAGGAAAUUAUUCUGUAAAAUGAGUUGUGCUUGGACAAAACAUGCUUGGGAUCAUAAAACCUGGAAAGGAAGUAAUUUAUCUCUUCUUAAUGCAAGUCCAAAUACAUAGGCAACCUCUUACAGUUGCCGCAGCCUUUUAUUUACACACCUUAAUUGAAGCUGUUACCCAUCAAACACCUAAUGUAUGUCUAAAAUGUGCCUAUUGAACACGUCAUGCCUAGUUAGUAAAAAUAAAAUGCAUGAGUUCACAUGCGAUGAUGUGGUAAAAUGGCAAAUCGAACAAAGCCAUGUAGAUUUUGAAUCCAACUAAUUGAAAAAGGAAAAAGAAAACACUAUCUUUAGAAAAAAAAAACCUCCCACCUUGUCAUCUUCCCCAACCUCAUCCUUCCUUCCCUUGUCUGGUUUCUCUCCGGUUCAUUCCUCCAUUUUCUUCCUUACCCCAUGAAAAUCUCUCCAUAAAUUUGCUCUCGAAAUACCUCAAAAAAUAAGAAAAAAUAGAAAUAUGUCACUCUAUUCUAAACAACACUAAUCAUGCCUAUAAAUACUCAAGUCAUCCCUACCUUACUCAGCUGCCCAACAGUACAACUAAACCUCAAUCCCAAGCAAGUUGGGGUCGGCUAUAGGAAUCCUCACUAACCAUAUUACUUCAGUUAAACCAUCUGAGGCCAACAUUAUAUAAAGUAAUAGUAAUAAAAUCAAGCAACAUAAAAAGUACUAGAAGUUCUUUAUAUUUUGCUACGAUAAACAACUCCGAUUAAAGUAUAGGACAUAAAGUAAAAGUGUUAGCAUGACUAAAACAUAUUCUUAAUUAAUAGGUAUCUCCUACAUAGAUCUUUUUCUUCCAUUGUGCCCUAUCUUUCACUAAGCCUUGCAUGAACCUCACUAGAUUGUAAAUCUUUCAAUACAACUUCCUUCCAAGUGAUUUAGGUACCUCUUCCCUUUUUAUUACUUUCUCUCACCACAUAUCUACAAACCGGUGGAUUUGAAGUUCGAUGCAAGACAUAAACAUGCCAUCUCAAGUGACCUCUUAUUUUUUCCUCGAUGUGUGCUACUUGAACCUUCUUGUGAAUGCGAUUGUUUCUAAUCUUGUCUAGUCUUGUGUGACUGCCCAUCCAUCUUAGCGCCUUCAUUUCCAUGCCACUCAUCUUGAUGUUUAACUUUAGAGACCCAACAAUAGAGUUAUCUUUUCUCAGGCAAAGUUAUAUAAACCACGUUUCAAGGCUACAAAAUCACCGACUGUCGAUGGAUGCUUUGUUAGACUGAACAAAUGAGGUUCAUCAUCUUCUUUUUCUUCUACUUGUUCAUGGGUUGCCAUCCCCUUAGUUUCGGUAAAUUUAGGUGUUGAUACAAUAGUGGGUGUCAGGGGUUUUGCUUGAAAUUGGAAGGCCGUCAAUCUGUGGGGUUGGAAUGGUGUAGUGAAUCACCAUUCACUAUACUGGGUAUGUUGUUGUUGAAUGGUGUAGUGAAUCACCAUUCACUACACGGGGUAUGUUGUUGUUGUUGAAUGGUGUAGUGAAUUUGCACUGGGUAUGUUUUUGUUGUUGUUGAAUGGUGUAGUGAAUGGAUGAUGUGCUGUAGUAGUAAAAGCUGGGCGUUCUAUUUAUUAAUGGUGUUGUAUCCAUUGAUGAGUCUUGGUUUCUAAUGGUAUUUCUCUUAUUGGAACUGAAGGAUGCUAGUUGGUAUUUUUCGCUGGUGGGAUUCUAUUUAGGAGGGAGAGAUGAAGGCUGCGGUGGUUUCUGGUGAUUGGUAGUAUGUCCAAACUGAUGUGGGGAGGUGGUGGCAGCAGCAGAGAGGAGCUGGAGGAGAAAGAAGAAAGAAAUAAAACAAAAAUAUUACAUUACAAUUCAUGAGCUCAAAACUGUGAAAGCCACUCAUUCUGCCACAUAACUGUGAGGUGUUCAAACUUCAAACGUCAUAUUUUGGAUAUACGUUAAGUUGUCUAAAAGAUAAUAACCUCAAUCGAGGUGUCUAAGUGAAAAGGCGUGGCAACAUUAAGAUUUAAGGGGGAUGUCCAUAUGUUUGGCCUAAUGCAAACUUAAUGUACAGGAGUCUCACUUUUUGCUUGUUCCACUUUUCUCUUUAUGCAUCAAGAUAUUCUCACUUUUUGCUUGUUCCCCUUUGCUCUUCAUUCAUCAGGAUAUUCUCACAUUUUGCUUGUUUCACUUUUUUCUUUAUUUGAUUUGAUGCAGGAAAUUUGCCAGGUCCGCAGGUUGCUUGUCCAAACUGCAAACAACACUUCUGCCUUGAUUGUGAUAUUUAUAUACAUGAGAGCUUGCACAAUUGUCCGGGUUGUGAGAGCUUAAGGAAUUCCAAGACCAUUAGUGAUAUGGAAGAAUGAUAAGGAUGUCUAUUUCUGAAGUGGUUUAUUCCUCAAACGGAACACGCUAAAUGGCAAAAUGUAAUGUUAUGUUGGAUGUCCUUUCCAAGUACCAGAAAUCUUGUUUCACAGCAUGUCGUGAGGAAAAGUCAAGCUGGCUGCUUUCAUAGGAUUUUUACAGUUGGAUCCAGCCAAUAUCUAUGGAACAGCUAUGGGAGACACCACUAACAAUCUCAAAGGUAAAACUUGUAUGGUCUAAUCCAACGUUUGGAGCAAUGCAGGAUCACGGCAUAAUGUAUAUCAUUCAUAUGN